This is a non-coding RNA of Pelobates cultripes (western spadefoot toad), 250 nucleotides long. NCBI's taxonomy places the organism in Eukaryota, Metazoa, Chordata, Amphibia, Anura, Pelobatidae. The record is from the annotation of a GenBank genome assembly.
UAACACUAGGGGACCCCCAGCGAUCUCUACCACCCCUCAUGGAAGCCCUGAAAGCAUUCGGCGACAUCUCACAUUAUCGCCUGAAUCAAGAUAAAACCCAGGCCCUCCCUGUCGGACUCCCCCUAGCCACCAAAACAAUACUGAAAGAUAACUACCUCUUUGACUGGAGAAAGACGUCACUAACCUAUCUAGGCGUAAAAAUCGCACCAUCAAUAGAAGAAAUCCUGAAACUAAAUUAUCUCACGCUCCC